This 886-nucleotide ribosomal RNA is filed under the name Paraschismatomma ochroleucum. Its description in RNAcentral is "LSU rRNA". It matches the Rfam family "Eukaryotic large subunit ribosomal RNA", at positions 40 to 943 of the family's 3401-position model. Lineage: Eukaryota; Fungi; Ascomycota; Arthoniomycetes; Arthoniales; Opegraphaceae. The record is from RNAcentral.
AUAUCAAUAAGCGGAGGAAAAGAAACCAACAGGGAUUGCCCCAGUAACGGCGAGUGAAGCGGCAACAGCUCAAAUUUGAAAUCUGGCCCCUCCGGGGUCCGAGUUGUAAUUUGUAGAGGAUGCUUCGGCGUCGGCACCGGGAUAGGUCCCCUGGAACGGGGCGCCGUAGAGGGUGAGAGCCCCGUACUCGCCCGGACCGCCUUCGCCAUGUGAAGCUCCUUCGAAGAGUCGAGUUGUUUGGGAAUGCAGCUCUAAAUGGGAGGUGAAUCUCUUCUAAAGCUAAAUACCGGCCAGAGACCGAUAGCGCACAAGUAGAGUGAUCGAAAGAUGAAAAGCACUUUGGAAAGAGAGUUAAAAAGCACGUGAAAUUGUUGAAAGGGAAGCUCUUGCUGCCAGACUUGCCCCGGUUGCUCAGCCGUCCCACUGGGCGGUGUACUCUUCCGGCGGCAGGCCAGCGUCAGUUCGGGCGGCCGGACAAAGGCUCCGGGAAUGUAGCCCCCCUCGGGGGGUGUUAUAGCCCGGGGUGCAAUGCGGCCAGCCCGGUCUGAGGAACGCGUUCGCGAGGACGCUGGCGUAAUGGCAGCAAGCGACCCGUCUUGAAACACGGACCAAGGAGUCUAACAUCUGUGCGAGUGUUUGGGUGUCAAACCCAUGCGCGCAAUUAAAGUGAACGGAGGUUGGAACCCCCUCGAGGGGCGCACAAUCGACCGAUCCUGAUGUCUUCGGAUGGAUUUGAGUAAGAGCAUAGCUGUUAGGACCCGAAAGAUGGUGAACUAUACCUGGACAGGGCGAAGCCAGAGGAAACUCUGGUGGAGGCUCGCAGCGGUUCUGACGUGCAAAUCGAUCGUCAAAUCUUGGUAUAGGGGCGAAAGACUAAUCGAACCAU